Trifolium pratense (red clover) is the source of this 2477-nucleotide RNA transcript. RefSeq lists it as uncharacterized. The transcript is spliced from 10 exons. NCBI's taxonomy places the organism in Eukaryota, Viridiplantae, Streptophyta, Magnoliopsida, Fabales, Fabaceae. The record is from RefSeq and is a predicted model, not a curated record.
UGGCAUGCUAUUCCUAUGCUUCAUCUUACACAUCUUACACAUGGCUUAUUAUAAUUCUUUGCAUGACUCAUGUGGACCCUCCUAUAAUUGCUGGUUUUGUGAUUGCUGAUUUAUGCAAACCAUUGACAGAAGUGGUUUAUGGAAACAAUUGUGGUUUUAUGAUUACUUUCCCAAAUUUUUUUUUCAUUUAUGAAAUUGUUUUCUCUCUCUUCCCCCCUCUCUCUCUCGUACGCUCUCCCUCUUUCUCAUCAUCCCACAGUUUCAUCUCUCACUCCCCAUCUCAUCCUUCACCAUAACAUCCACACCACAACCUCCACCACCAUCUACGAAUCAAUCAAUCGUCAUGAGAGUGAGGGAGUGGCCGAGUGAGAGAAGAUUUACCGGCGGGAGAGAAGUUCUGGUGAGGAGGAGGAGUUCCGGCCGAGAGAGUUCUUGUGGCCGUUUGUGGUGACACGGCGGUGCUCGGCAACGGCGGCGACGAAGCUUCUUGCUCCUUCUUUCCUCUGGUUCGAUCUUAAUUUCUAUGCUCUAUUUAUUUUUUAUUUUUUUUCGUUGUUUUUUUUGUUGGUGAGGAUGGUUGAAGAUCGGAGGUGAUGGUGAUGUGUGGUGGUUAUGGUAGAUGGUGAUGUAUCUCCAAAUUCAUCUUCUAGAUUUCAUCUUUCUCAAUUUGUCAAUAUUCAUCUCUCUGUGAGUCUGUGACUGUUAUCUGAAUUCUUGGAAUCAAAUCAAUCUGAACUUGAUUUAUUGGCUUGUGUCUUCUGCUCUUAAAAUUUGUGUUGCUUGCUCACAAUUUUCACUCACAUGCUUUUGCAGAUUACCUUUAGCAUUCUAUUUGUCAUUGUAAUUGCAUUUGUAUCAGAUGGUUUGAGUACAGUGCCAGACAAAGCAUCUGUCCUUUCUUCAAACACAUCCUUCAGCCAUGAAUUUCACGAACAUGGGGAUCAGAUAAUAAAGAAUUGCUUCAGAGGGAAGUUGGUUUUUGGUGGUUAUUCAGUUUCAGAUCAAAAUCACCGGAAAAGCCAGUCGCGCCACCACCACAAAAGCUUUCUCUAUGCGACAGACAGGAGGGUUUAGAGCAAAAAGUAAAGAUUCUGGAAAGCAAUUUGAGUUCUUUUAGUGAGAAAGAGAAAAAAGAAGUAUCUGGAUUUGAAUAGAACAGUUUUUGGUGAAUGUGAAGAUGACUAUUGUGCACUAUCAAAAUUUGUUAUCUUUCUCGCUUUCUUUUGGCAUACCUGGCAACGGGAAUGAAUGACAUGGAGCACACACAACAACGGUAGCAGCCUCCGAUGUAGAGGUUUGUGUAUCUCAUCUCAGCUCCAUAGAAUAUUUCUGGUUCUACUUUAGCUAGAUCUAUCCAUUUUGCUUAGAUAAAGGGUGGAUUUUGAUCUAGCUUGAAGGUUUUGAUCAUCUGUUAUAAGAGAGAGUUCCGACCGAGAGAGUUGCGGUGCUUGGCGAUGGAGGUGAUGAAGCCAUUUUCUCCUUCUUUCCUCCGGUUCGAUCCUUCAUUCGGAUGAUCAUCAACAAUCUAUUGAAGAAGAGAAGGCUUGAUUUGUGGUAUUUCUUUGAUGUUAAUACUCCCAAGAUGAAAAGAGAUCUCAUGAAGCAGCUUUGGCGAAGUGCAAGGAGUUAGAAGAACAAUUGCAAAGGCUUGAUUUGUGGUAUUUCUUUGAUGUUAAUACUCCCAAGAUGAAAAGAGAUCUCAUGAAGCAGCUUUGGCGAAGUGCAAGGAGUUAGAAGAACAAUUGCAAAGAUAUGAACCAUCGUUACAAAUUGCAUCCUGAUGUUCGUCCUUACGCAAUGAUGACCAGGACAGGAUAUAUGGAGUAUGAUCCCAUGAAGCCCCGAGGAAAGCUUCCAGAAAUCUAUGCACGUUCCAUUGGUCAAUACAUGUGAUACGGUUUUUUUGGAGGAUGUUAACAAGAAUCAGAUUCAAGUUGGUGUGCACAAAAAGAGUUCUUCAAAAAUUUAUUUUACUGAUGGCUGGUCAAUACAUAGGUGAUACGGUUUUUCUGGCCAGUGGCGUGAUAUUUGCAAAGUCCACCAUUUGGCUGAGGGUGUAACUGUGAGCUUUGGUGUCACUCAAGCAUCCAACAACAGGAUCAUAUACUUCAAGCUAUCCCCUUACAUUGGCAUACGAACUACUCUCAUUGCUCCUUCAACAUCCAGCAAGCGGAAGAAAUUUUAUGAGACUCAGCAUUUCUAUAUGCUCUAGGAUCCCUACUAUCUUGCUUUAGAACUAUCUUGCUUUUAUUUAUUUCUGAACCUAUGCUGUAAUAUCUCUGCCAAACUUGAUUUUCAUGCUUUUAGGCUUGGCCAUUUUGAGCUUGUGCUGUGCUUGCUCUAUUUUGCUUUAGAACUAUGUUGAUUUUCAUGCUUAAGAGCUUGGCCAUUUCGAACUUGUGUUGUAAUAUUUCUACAAGACUUUAUUUCCCUGCUUUUCAUAGUGCUUGCCCCAAUGCUUGCUCUUUUAUGAUUGA